Telopea speciosissima is the source of this 615-nucleotide long non-coding RNA. RefSeq lists it as uncharacterized. The transcript is spliced from 2 exons. Lineage: Eukaryota; Viridiplantae; Streptophyta; Magnoliopsida; Proteales; Proteaceae. The record is from RefSeq and is a predicted model, not a curated record.
GGGGGUUUCCACCAAAUUUGUGGUUUUCACUGAAGUAUCUUAACAUGCCAUAGAGAUUCAUGGUAAGGUUGGCACUCAAAGGACAGACAAAAAGUUAGCCAUUUGUUUUUCUAUCAUCCUUUUUCUGCUUUCUAGUGAAUAGAAGAGAACCGUCUGUGGGUAACAAUCUUAAAACUUCUGUCCACAUUUCGGUCUUCAGAGAGCUAAAGAAGUAUCAGAAAGAUUUCUCUGGCUGGUGUGGAGAGUGCCAUCGUGAGAAGAAAGAGGCAAUGUCAAUCUAUUGCUGCCUCUAAACUGGAAUUGUUUAGGAUGGAAGGAGAAUCUAGGGUGUAAGUUUUUCUCGCUGUAACAAUGCUGGGUGAUUGUAAAAUAGCACAACUCUCAUUCCUUUACCAUGACACCAUGGCACCACUCUUUGUAUUGUAUGGAGGGAAUUUUUUGUUUUCUUUGUUGUAUCCAUUGAGGAGAUGGCUCUGUAAAGUGGAAAUUCUUAUUGAAGUUCCUGUAAUAAGUCCUAUCUGUUUGCUGGCCUGAAAUUUGUGUGAAUAUUUAUAGUGCCAAAUUUAUUAUGUUUGUUUAUACUGUACUAAAAUUACUGAAGAUUCCUCAGUUGGG